UGGGACCUCACCUUUCCAUUGCCACUUUGC
Molecule: non-coding RNA, 30 nt
Filed under: Rattus norvegicus (Norway rat)
Lineage: Eukaryota; Metazoa; Chordata; Mammalia; Rodentia; Muridae
Source: RNAcentral